RNAcentral lists this ribosomal RNA (392 nucleotides) under uncultured Gammaproteobacteria bacterium. RNAcentral's name for it is "bacterial SSU rRNA". It matches the Rfam family "Bacterial small subunit ribosomal RNA", at positions 370 to 779 of the family's 1533-position model. The record is from RNAcentral. Lineage: Bacteria; Pseudomonadati; Pseudomonadota; Gammaproteobacteria.
AAUGGGCGCAAGCCUGAUCCAGCCAUGCCGCGUGAGUGAUGAAGGCCCUAGGGUCGUAAAGCUCUUUCGCCUGUGAAGAUAAUGACGGUAGCAGGUAAAGAAACCCCGGCUAACUCCGUGCCAGCAGCCGCGGUAAUGCGGAGGGGGUUAGCGUUGUUCGGAAUUACUGGGCGUAAAGCGCGCGUAGGCGGAUUAGUAAGUUAGGGGUGAAAUCCCGAGGCUCAACCUCGGAACUGCCUCUAAAACUGCUAGUCUUGAGUUCGAGAGAGGUAAGUGGAAUUCCGAGUGUAGAGGUGAAAUUCGUAGAUAUUCGGAGGAACACCAGUGGCAAAGGCGGCUUACUGGCUCGAUACUGACGCUGAGGUGCGAAAGUGUGGGGAGCAAACAGGAUU